Long non-coding RNA from Melospiza melodia melodia, 13812 nucleotides. RefSeq lists it as uncharacterized. The transcript is spliced from 3 exons. NCBI's taxonomy places the organism in Eukaryota, Metazoa, Chordata, Aves, Passeriformes, Passerellidae. The record is from RefSeq and is a predicted model, not a curated record.
CGGAGCCGCGCGGGGCCGCCGCUCUCUCCGCCGCUUUGGAAGGAAGGAAGGCAGGCAAACCGGCAGCCUGAGGCGGCACCGGCUUUAGCCAGGGCUUGUCUUCCGGGAAGGAGCCCCUCCGUGCCGCUGCAGGACGAGGGGUCCCGUUAACGCCGCCAGGAAGCGACCCGGGAGGCGCCACCAGUAAGUGCCGCUGGCCUGGCCUCCUGAGGGCCGGGAACGCCCGGCUGCGAGAGGGCCGGCUACCGAAAGGGUAUUUCCAGACAUGGCGAAACUAUGUGGGGAGCCUCAGGAGGUGGGAGUUCCUUCUACCUGGGCUUUCCCAGCCUGUGCGAUGGGGCCCUGCGUGAGGAACCGGAGGAAAGGAGGACAGAGAAAUCUGCCCAAAUAUAUCCGGAAAAUGAACCAAAAUCAGUUAACAUAAACCAUGCAAAAAAGCUUCACAACUGUCAGUGACUGCUCUGAGUUGUUAUGAAGGAGAAGUUGGUGUACAUGUCAGAAUAAACGUGAUAAAUUACAAAUCAUUCUUGGCCAUAAAAUGUGUUCUAGGAAUCCCGCUAGUACUCAUGGAAAUGGUGAAUAGUUUUUGUUUUGUUUGAGUGCACAUACUAUUACAUAGAAUGGGAAUCUUUUUGUUCAAGACUGACACGAGGGACAGCAACUUGUUUCACGUAUACCUUUUACUGUACAUGUUUUUCAAUCUUGAAAUGCCAAAUUAAUAUUUGAUAUGCCAGUUAUAAUUUGGCAAUGUUUAUCACAAAAAACAAUAGAUAUUAUCUGUUUGUACAAGGCAAGUGAUUUCUCUUAUGGCUUCCAACAUUAAAUGUCAGCUGGCUUGAGAGAGCCACACAAAUAACCUUCCAAAAUAACAUUUCUUAUAAAUUGUCUAACAGAUGAUAAGUACAGGUUUUGAAAAAUGCAAGAGAGGAAUCCAGAUGGUGGGGUAGUGUAGGAAAGAUCAGUCACUCAUUUUGGUCAAACAAGGAAUAUAGACACACAUCCCCCAACCUCAAAAAAAAAAGUCUGGUGCUUAAUCUGCUUAUAGGGCAGGCUGAUAACUGGAAUGAUGAGGCUGGUAACAAAAGAAAUGUAAUGGGAAAAUGAUCCGCUCAACAUGUAAUUAAUACUAGCAUCUGUCGCCAUUUAAUGAAUGCUACACUAAUCAGAAGAUUUUGUCAUGUUAGUAAAAUGUUCAGCUACUUACCCACAAAAGACCAGCUUGGUACAUUCACAGGGCUGCCGUGGUUCUGUGCAAUAUUCCACACGUGAUCUGCUCGUGUAACAGCCAGGACUCUGUCAAAUAUGCUACUACAGAAUUGUGUGUUUGGCCAGAGAUCAGCAACUGGGUUCUCUCAAACACAUACACAGGACAUGUAGAUGAACAAACAGUGUAAGUAACUGGGCAAACAGUUCUCAUGAAUGUUCUUGUUCUUUACCCCUCAUUGCUCCCAUUGUUUAGUGUUCGCCUCUCUUUCUUCAAUCAGUUUCUGAUUAAAUCAAUACAUUCUGAGCACAGCGCAUUAUUUUGGAUACUGAGUACUAUAGUAUUUGCUUAAAAGAUCCUAUAAUUAGUUGUUUCAAUUUUUAAAAUAAAGGUUUUUUCUGACUUUUUUAGUUGUAAGCAAAAAUUCUGAACUUAUAGCACUUAAAUCUUUAAGAACCUUUUUUUAAAAAAAUCCUUUUACAAUAAACAACCCAAUUCUCUACUGAUCUCUGUAAGUCCUAUACUACAAAAACCAAACAAAAAGUCACCACCACACCACCACCAACAUAUCCCAAACAAAAAUUAAACAAAACAAAACACUCCGACAAUUUAUAAUUUUCAAUAAAAUAUUAUUUUAAGAGUCGUUAAUAAAUGAUCCUUAGGGUGGGCUGGCUGAUUUUCAGUCGUAAGAACCUUCAUGAUUUAUUAAACCUGCAAGGAUAGCUCCUCAAUUUGGUAUUUUACAGUUAACUAUUAUAUCUUGGGCUUGUUUUCAAGUCUGUAUGAUGACAUUUGAUAUGUAACCUAUUUGAUUGACAGCAGAUGCCAUUUGAAGUGCUUAAGCCAGAUGGAUUGGGGCGGGGGGGAAAUUAACAGAUGUUCUAAUAGUAAUUGAGCUGAAAUUAAUUUCAUGUUACACAAAACAAUUUUUGGAAAGAUAAGUCUUAUUUUAAGUAAAUAUCUGUAGGAGAUGAACCUUUUUCAAAAUUCUACUAUUUUAUUUGCCUUUGAAACCUGAGGGAUGCCAUACCAGUUACUACCUAGUCAGAUUGUAUCCAGGUCUCUUCUUUGACUUUUCAAACAGAGAUUUGUGUUCUUAGCAAACAAAAAGAGCACAGAAAUUUCUCAAGAGGAAGUUUAAAAAAUUAUAUUUUAUUAUGAGCUAUUUGUAUGGAGCACUUCAACUGCAUAAAAUAGGAAAUUGUUGUUGUUGUUGUUGUUGUAAAGUAGAAAUAUUUCAAGUAUACUUUGUUGAGACCAGGAGACAGCAGCCAUUUUGUCCCAGCUCCGGAAAUGCUCUGCUAUGCUGAAAAGAUGUAUUUCCAAAAGAAUCAAACAUUUUCAUGGUAAUUCUAUCACACAGUAUUAAUCAGUUAUUAUCAGGAGAAUGUUCAUUAAGCCUAAAAUACGUAGGGAAAUCACCUUUGCUUUUUUUGCUGUCUCUAAUUCAGACAUCAAAGUAAACAGUAGAGCUGCUCAGAGAAAAUGUAGACAGUUUCUCUGGGGAAAUAAUGCUGAACUGGAAAAAUAUGAAUAUUGUUGUCAGGUGUUCCAGUCCAAAGCUAAAAUAAGUCAUUUUAGCAGUUUGGAUGCCUGAUGGUACCUCUCAUGUCUGUGAUGUGCCACCUCUGGGUGUAUGCACUUGCUAGAUCUUAUCCAUAAGGUUUGGGGAAGAUUUGGGAAUUCUUUGGUCAUGCUGCAAUAUUGAAAAUGUAAUGCAGCCACAAGAACUGACAUAGGAAAAUUUGGGCUUUUAACAACUGAAAUGCAAUUGGUGGUGUGUUGCACUGGCAAUGCUGGAACUUCAGGGCUUUCAUUAUUAGUGGAGCAAGAUUUCUCUAGAGAAGGGAUUAGGUACAGCAAUGUAAGUGGUGGGGUUUUACCUUCCCAGAAGGCUCAAUUCUCUUUUUGGAGGGUGAUUGUUUUGGGUUUUUUUCCCCACAAACAUUACUAAAUGCUUAAUCCUGUGAAACAUUCAUUUAUUGAUUUGAAGUUAGAUAUAUAACUUAUAUGGAGUGAUUGUUACUUGUGAAGUUGAGUUCUUAGUGAGCCUAUGAUAAUGCAGUGCUGUCAUGUGGGCUUAUAAAAUCCUUUUUCAGUAGUGGUUGAGCUGUUAUUUAAAGAUGCAUUGGAAUAUUCUCAUAUCAGUUUUAAUUAAGGUAUGUUAAAGGUGAUAAAGUAAUCACAGUUAAUUUGCCAUUAGUCUGGUUUUACUAUAUCACUGGUAGCCUAGAGAUGUCUCAGCUGGGUUUUGUCUACUUAUAACUAGUCUUUAAUAUUCAGACAGCAGGAUCUCACAGAAUUUAAAUGUGAUCUCCCAUUUUAUGCAUGAUUUUAAUAUUUGUGGCUUUCUUUAAAAGUAUCAUACUUGAUCUAGUCCUGCUUGACAAGGAUGAUUUUCAGGUCAUGAAGAGAAUAGUUUCUCAAGGUAAGCAAUCACAACUACUUUCUGCUUAAUAAUGGAAACAUUUCUUGCUGUAACCAAGUCAUGUUCACAUGUUCCUUAUUGCCAGUGCUUGUUCUUUAGAAAAAAGAUUUAGUGAUAUUUUUAUACUUAGGUAGUAAAUCCUUAUCAAUCUUGUUCUCUGUCUUGGGAUAUCUCAGGAGUAAUUCUACUUUGAUGUUACCGAAGGUAAGUUUGUGUUCUUGCCUGUUUUGUUUUCCUUUUUCCUGCUUCAAGUUAGAAAAAUAAUUAUUUCUUUUUUCUGUCACUUUAUUAACCAUGAACUGUUUACAUUAUUUCAUUUUCCAUAUACACAGUAGCAUUCAUGAUGAAGAACCGUCAGAUAUGUUUACUUGACUAGGCAUAUUUAUACUUUCUUCAUUUAUCAAAAGUAAUUAAAUGCACUCAGCAAAGUGUUCAAGGGAAAGAAGAAGGGUAGAAGGCAAAGCUAGAAAAGGUUCAGAAUUUUUAUCUCAAUGUGAGAUAGGCUGUGAAAGGUCGUAUAUAAAGAUGCAUCAGUGUAACCUAGAAAAAAUUUUAAACAAAGUUGGUGGUCUAAACUGCUCUAUGGAUUUUUAUUUUAAGGAUUUGCUUGAUUUUGAUUUGCUGUAAACUAAAUCAGUUUGUGUUAAACUGAAAUAAGCCUAAAUAAAACCAAAGUAAAAGUGCCUGCAGGUUUUGGAUGGACUUGACGAAAUUAGAUUAAAAUUGUGCAUUGGGUACAACCAGUGUACAUGUCAUUUGUUGGCUGAAGCCUGAAUUACACAAAUUGUCUGGAGAAGGGUGAGAACUGGAAGAAUGAACAAUAGUGCACAGUAAAAGGAUAUAAAUCAUUUGUUGAAAAAUUCAAAAUAAUACUGUAGACACAGAAACCUGGGAGAGUUCUGAAGCCAGAGUUCUAAAUAACCUAAUAAGUUGACAGUGAACAAUAGAGUGAAAGGAAUGACAGCAGAUGGGGAUUGCAAGCAAGAGAAGCUGUGUAGCUGGAAAGCAUCAAAAAAGCAAGCAGAUACUUUUGACAGAAAAUGUAAUGUAUGUUUUAAUACAUGUGCAUAUCAAAUUAUCAUGGCAAAUGAUAAUGAGAGAUUUCACUUCUUGCUAAGUUGGUGCUACAGCUGAGUUGUACUGUUGUUUUCUCCUGUGCAGUUUAUAAUGAGGCUGAAACCUAGAGGUAAUCAGUGUUAAGUUUCAUGUAAAAUGAGGAGUUAAAAUUGGACUGAAAAAAUCCUAGUGUUUGAAGAAACAGGAAACAAAGUCAACCAACAGGUAGCACAUGCUGCCUGUAGUACUGGGCUGAUAGCUGAUGGAGAGAAAGGGCACACUUGUUAACACAGCUUUUUCUAAAAACUGGAGUCAUGCGUAGGAGCCAAGUACAUGAGAAUGCCUGCACCAUGUGAUAGAUUCUUUAGUGUUCCUGUCUUCUGAUUUGAGGUGGAAUUAAAGCUGUAAAUAGGCACCAAGGGAACUUUGAAAAACAUAUUGGUAGUCUUAGUUUGUUCUUUAAAAAUGUGGUGAGAUUUAGGAGCCAGUGCAAUAGAUGUUCCUCAAAAUUUAGAGUAGGAGAUGUCAGUGCUGAAAGUGAGCUGCCCACGUAUGAAUAUAGGAAAACAGUUUUCAGCAGAUAUUAAACAAGUGGCAGGAAGAUAAGAAGUAUCCAAGAAGGGAGCAGUGGGAUGAUUUAACUAAGACUUCAUCUGUAAUAAAAAGGAUUGCCAGGUAUACGUGCAGACCCUGCUAAAAGAGGUGCAGAUUCCCUAAAAAUUACUUUGCACUGUAACACUGCUGAACUUCAGGACAUUUUAGACAGAUAGCAAAAGUCUGACUGCCCUGUUCUGUUGUUUGGAGUUUUUUACUCUAAUAAAGAGGAAAGAAACUCAAACACAAAAAAACAAUUCAAAGCAUUGACUAGACCUGAAAUUGUGCGGAGAGACCUUGAAACUGAAUUAAGGAGGACAAAACUUAAAGAAAUGGUUUUAAAUUAAACCUGUCAGUGUCUUAUCCAUCUAGAAAGAAAUGUUAUGUCUUGCACUUAGCUUACAUGCUUUGUUCUGUGAAGUAGUAGCAUAAUCUCUUUGUGGCGGUCUGAUCUAGGUCUGCCUGUUUAAUCACAUUAAUAAAUGGCAAGUAUCAUGCUCAUAAGUGAAGACUCUGAUCCUCUAGAGUAAUAUUUUAUUCCCUCUCAUAGUUUUGCUUUCCCUUCAGCACAUCACCUCCCUUCUGCAUUGUCUCUCACUCUUGUAUUGCUUCUCUGAUCUGUGUGCAUGAUUCUAUACAAAAGUAGACCUUAGCUUCCAAAGCACCUUUGCUGUAAGCAGCUGUGAUAAACAGCUUUAUCUCCUUUUUUUUUUCCCCUUACUUUCUUCACUUUUUAUUUAUUCUCUCUCCCACCCACAAGCUCUGGGAAAACCAAGGAAGAAAGAUACUAAAAUAGGACUUAACCCAGUAUGAAACUGAGAGAAAUGGAAGAGACCAUGGCAAGACAACAAAUUUUGUGCUCAAAUAUAAGUACUGCAUUCCCCAAAGGAAAAGACAAUUAUAAUUCCAAGUUUUUUAUUAUAUCUUCCUCCUGAAUUUUACUAAAACAUUUUUCAAAUGCUCUAAGUGGGAGCCUUCGGUAGUCAUGCAUACACACACGCAAAGCUAAUCCCUUGGUUUAAGUGGGUUGAUGUUUCCAAGCGUGAGUGAAGUGAAGGAAAAAUUAUCAACUUCUAAGUUGCUAUAUGUGAAAUUUUGGAAUUGAGACAUUUCUCUUCAUGCACUUGAAAUACUUGUUAAAAGCACCACACGAAAGAGUUUGCCUUGACACCAGAAGUUAUCUUUUUUCUGUGUGUCAUUAUCUUUAUCUCUGAACUCUGCUACAGUCACUGGUAUAUUUUUGUUUGCUAACUAAAGCAAACUAAUCUUAUUUUAGCUUUCCUUGCUAUUAAAACUUCUUUUUUCUCCAAAACCAAAGCAGACAUAAGAGAAGGGAAGUAUGUGGGUUUCCAUGAUGACUAAUGUGGUCCUGAGAAGAAUCUGUGCAAACUUUCAGGUACACACUGUUGUCCAGAAUUUCUACUCGAUGAUGUGUAUGGUUAUUUCUUGUAGAACAGUUCCUCUAGCACAGCUGGGUAUUAGCUUUUACACUUUAGACUCUGGCAUAGAUGAAGUGGACAUCUCUGAGAAAGACUGAAACAUGGACCAUGUCUAGUUAAUGCCGAAUCUACUUUUUCUUCUCGUAAGUGGAGUGCACAUCAGAAGGAAACUUUUACCUUGUAUAGAUGUUAUCCUAUCAGUACAGAAAAAAUAGUAAUUUGUAUGAUUUCCUAUAUUAUAGCAAAUGCAGAUGUCGAGGUUUUGUGUCAGUUGUGAAAUGAAGCAGGAACCUUGUAAGCCUUAAAUUUGGUAAGGCUUAAUAAAUUGCCAAAAGAACAAAAAGCAUAUGAUUUCACAGACAUAACAGGCAGCAACUAGUACCUGUUUGGUUUCAUAUUGUUCAUCCCCGAAAUGUGGAAUGGCAUCAGUGUGUGGCACCGGCACCAGAGUCUUCAGUUUGGUGGACUCUUGCACUAUUGCACCCAGAUGUGUUUAAUUUUUUGUGUUUAUUCCUGAAAAGUUGUCCUUCAAAAACUUCUGAGAACGCCAAAUAAAUUAGGACUUCAUUAACCAACCUCUUGAUAGUUCAUUUUACUUUCUUUUUCAGGUCAAAGCUUGCCAGUAAUUUUGAGCUACAUACCAGCACCAGUCCUGAAACCAGCCCCUUCUUCCAGGCUGCAUUUGCUAGUGUUCACAUUCUUGCAUAUUAACCAAAUCAGAACUCUCAAAAUAAUCUGCUUUGGCCAGUCAUAUAUUUUCAUUACCAAGGGUCUAACUGGUCUUGGAGGCAGGAAGGAAAAAAGGAGACUUAACAGAUUCUUCAGUUGCACAAGAUCUGCCUUCUUGCUUUGAAGUUAAUCACAAUAUGCCAUUGUAGGCUCUCAUGAAACAAUUGCCCAUGUGUGUUAUCAUUCCGCAGCAGCUUAUCCCACAGGGAUCAAAAUAGCAUUGCCUUGAGCUGGGCCAGUGUCCAUGCCUAAGGAUAGCCUCACUCCAGCCCCUUCUAAAGCUGUGAAACAUUUUAUUUUAGUUCUUUUGCAAAUACCUGUCCAUUGUCAGUGCUAGCUCUUUCAUAGUUUAGACACAAGACAUGUUUGCCUCUUCUUAGUGAAAAUUUAGUAAAAUUUUAAGGUACCUGUUUUGCAUUUUUUUAAAGUGACCUAGAAGCCUCAGCUUCAUUCACUUGCAGAAUGAGCAUAGCUUUGUCUAAACCUAACGAUUUAUGUUGUCCAACUCAAAAUUUCCUUUAUUUCUUAUGCAGUCAAAGCUGCAGUGUGGAUGUAAAUGCAACUGUGUGAAAAACUUCACUAUAAAGUAAAAAAAACCCUCUACUAUGGUAUCAGCUUCUCAAUUAGAUGCAACUAUGUUAGAGUAGAAGUAGAAAAAACUAUGGUGAGAGGGUGCCUUUUCCUAAGUAAAAAUUUUAGAACUAUCUAAUUUAUAGUUAUCUCCUUUAAGAUAUUUCAGUAAUGUUGAUAUUUAUUCCACUUUUAUUUUGUAAAGAUUUAAAUGAGGGUGAAAUGGGCAAUUUUUUUACCAAAAUGCAUGGAAGUUAAUUGUUUUAUAACCAAUAGAUUCUUUUGCAAUUGUAGUAAAAAUGCAACAACUCUGUGCAAGAGAAAAAAAGAUAAAAUUAUAAAAUGAGUGACAGAAGCAUUUGAAUACUCUAAUUCUGAAAUCAAAAUUUUCUGGUCUUCUUUAAUCUACAAAACCCAACUAAAGCACAGGUUGUUGUUUGUUUGUUUGUUUGUUUUUUUAAUAUGAUGGGGAAGUAAUAUAAUGUGUGAUAAAAUAGUCUGGGUAAAGGGAUUUAGUAGAGAUAGUCUCUAAGACUGAGAAUGUGACAUUUUCUCUCUAGAAAACGCAAUGGCUCCUUCACUGUACAGUGGAAUGAGAUCUUGGACUGUAGUAACAAAUCCAAGGCUAAAAACAAAGACUGGGGAUUUAGGCCAUUCACCUUGGACAGAGGAAAAUGUUUGAAUCUAGAUCUCCUGAAUCUCAACAAUGUUAUUUUCUAGAUUCUGUAGUCACCUUCCUUCUCCAACAAAUGUUUCUAUUUAAAAGAGAAUAAUUUAAGGGAAAAGUUAACUUCCAUAUAGCCUGUAAUCUGAGAAACUGUGUUUUGAGUUACUGGUUUUAAGCAAAGCAAAAAGCUGAAUCUGAAGAAGUUUGAAAUCCUAAUAAAGUGUACUGGGGAAGGAGAAAGUGUCUCAUAUUUGCCAUUCUACAGGGUUUCACAAUUCACCCUGUCUGUCUCAGCUUCCCCAGAGGUUUCUCAGUAUACAGUAUGAGUCUGAAGUGUGAGACUUGUCUACUUCUAUAGCUUCUGAACAAGAUUAAAGGAAGAGUGAGACCCACAUCCUGAGGAAGGUGGCUCACCAUGUGACAAAUUUCAAAUAUUAUUUUCUCAUACAAUGUAAAGAGUUCUAUGCUUCUGGUAAUCUACAGUUCAGAUUCAUUUUGACAAUAGAUACUUCCUAAAUAAUUUAAUUUUUGCUAAUUUUCACUUAAAUAUUUAAGUUGUUUUAUUGGUUAAAAAAUUGCAAUUACUUUUUACCUGAAGCUUUGUUUGGUUCCUACUGUUUAGAUUUAGGUUUGCUCAUCCUUUCCUCUUCUCUCUUUUUUAAAGAAGAAAAUGCCUUUGGAAUAAGCAGUGUGGUAGUGAAUUCCUUUACCACUUGCACCUCCAAAUAACAUUGAGAAUGGAAUGUGUCCAUGGUAACCAGGAUGCACUCAUAACACUUUCCAUUCUUCUCUUUUAAUCUAUGCAAAUAGUAUAGUAUUAUAAAAUCUAUGCAAUAUUUUUAUUUGAAAUAACCACAUGCUAACAAAUUACCAAGGUAACUGCAAUUUGCCCUGGGUAUUUGUACAUAAAGCAGUUUUUUAAUGGGGUGGUGCUAUUGACAGUUUGUUCCACUGUAAAUGGAAGAAUAAUGUUUCAAACAAUCACAGUGGUGUUCAAUAAAAUGACUUGAAUAUUUUACUUUUCCUGUGCCUCCACAUGUUGGUCUGAUCUUUCCAUUUUGGCAGAGUUCCAUGGCAGUGUGAUUCCUGGUACAGCAAUUAAGAGGAGGCAAUGUUAUGGAAGUAUGUAUUUCUUUAGUUUUUUUUGAAAUUCCUAUUAAAAUGCCUUGGAAUUUAGAAAACAAUAAUUUGGAAUUGUACAACAAUACUGCAAGAAAGUACAUUUUUAUACCCAUAUUAAAACAUCUGCUGUAAUAGACAAGGGUAUUUAAUUUGCAGAAUAUUGGCUUAUAUUCCAUUUUAAAGUUUGUUAGAUUCUGUAAAGACAAAAACCUUUUUCAAGAGUCUAAACACAGAUAUGCCCACCUAGUGUUUAGAAUAAGUAUGUUCUUGGGCACUCACAUAUAUUUAAGCUUACAUUAUAGAUAAAUUCAUUCAUAUACACAAAAUAACAAAAAAAUAUAUAGAAUACUUACUGUGAAAAGUUUGUCUUGCUUACAGCAGUGCAGAUUUUGAGUAUUUUCUAUCUGUAUGCACUUUGUUUUGUUGUAUUGUACAUUCCAGACUGAAAAGUGUUGAUUAAUGUAUUUUAUUACAGAUCUCAACGCAUUGUAAUCUCUGGUACAGUAGAGCUCUGCUUUUUAAAGAAUCAAACUUACAAAAUUGUGUAUAGUUAAUUUUCUGUAUAGACUUAUAGAUUUAAUCUGUAGAACAUUUUAAGGUAUGCAAGUUCAAAAGUUUAAAAGCAACAGUUAUUAAUCAGUUUUGGUAAGUGGUUCUGGGGACAGGUAGCUAUUUUGUUUUUCAGUUACAUUUGGCAUUUUCAUUCUGAGAAAUUGGUUUGUUUGUUUGUUUUUUAAAGAAAUGUCACUUCCAACAGUAACAGGAAAAGGCCAAGAGAAAGCCUAUUAACCAUGUUUCUUUUCUCCUUUAACAAUGGGGGUUUUCUCAUAUAUACUGUAUUCAUGUGUCCAUGUUGAAGGAUAUCCAAGAUGAGGAACAUGUUAGAGAUGUUUUUUCUUUCUCUACUGGUGUAUCAGUUUUGUUUUGACCUUAUUCUCACCUCAUGUUUUCCACAAAUAAGAAUGGAAGUAGCCUUGUGCGCUGCUUCUCCCUACACUGCUAGAGAUGAAAAGAGCUUUAGGAAGUACAGUAGGGCAUUCAGUGUACUAUUAUCCCUGUGCUGGGCUGCAAUCAUUCGAGUUCUAAAGCCUUCCCAGGUAGCAACAUCAUCUGUGAAACAGAAUGACAAGGGCUUUAUAAUCCCUUUUGCAUUGAAUCCUCAUUACCACUGGUGUAUGAAAUGAGGUUAUGUUAACAACAUGGUAGUCUAUAUUGUGCAUGUUCCUUGCAGAAAUAUUAAUUCCACUGUAUCAAAGGCUUCAAUGGUAUAUUUAUUUUUCAUAUAUUAAAUUCUAGAAUGCAGUUUGGAUGAAUAUGGGCUUUUUUGCCUUCAAAGAUGCAGCUGUUUCACUGCAAAGGACUAGAGACUUUAUUGUAAAAUAAAAUGAAUUUAUGUAACUGAGUAGGACUUUUUCCUUUUAUUCCUACAAAAGGUUGUUUUGCAGAGUACUGUGGAUAUCUCUGAGUGUUAAUCAAAGCUAUUUUAUAUGUAUGCAAUCAGAUAUGUGAUUUAGCCAUUAUGAUUACCCCAUAUAGUGAUAUAUUAGCCACAAUAACCAUCAAAAUGAUAAAUUUUACCUGGUUAUAUUUGACAUUCAGAUAAAAAUGUUAAGCUAUUAUUCUAACUUAUUUACUGCUGUAUAGGAGAUAUCAACAGGAUAAAAGAAAAACUUGAAAAAUACGGACAUGAUUGGUAUAGGCCUGCCUUAGAAGAUAGUCUGGAAUAGGAGUUUUAAUUUGAAAAUUAAACUAAAUACAACUCAUUGGGAGUUACAAAUACUUAAUACUCUACUUUAAAAUCUCCAUUUUAGCAGUGAAAUACCAGAGAGAUCUAAAGUUAAAUUUUAUGUUGAGAGAUGUAUACCACUGUUGUCAGCGCUAAGAUUUGUAAAAGUAACUCCAUUUUUUUCAGUCAAUAUAUGGAAGUAUUGACAGUUUACUCAAGGCUUGCUUUUAAUUUUCCUUUUUGGCAUGCCAGUAGAAAAAAGAAAGUUCUGUGGAGUAUGUGUUUUUAUACACACAUGUAUGUGAAUGUGUUUAUAAAUGUUCACCUCUCUAAUAUUCUCAUUUUUCUGUUUUAUCACUCAUGUCAGGAGCCCACCUAUAGAUAUGGCCGUGUAAAGUCCUGACUUUUCUUAAUUAAAUAGAAGGGAAUAAACCAGAUUAAUAUUAGUAACACUGGAUUAGAUGGGUUUUUUAACCUUGUCUAUAACAGCAGUGAAUUUUACUUGUGGCUUGGAGCGUGCUCUUUAUGAGCACCUUGUGUGAAUGAUGAUGACUUUCCUCUUGGGUAGGCCCAGCUGUGACAGCAACAGAAAGAAAGUCAAUGUUAAAAGGUGACACACUGUUCAAGCACAUAUGUAAUGUUUUAAGACAACUCUGGGAAAAUUGCUGGUAGUUAGGACCACUUAUACUCCAUCAUUUCAUAGCUAUCUAGUUUACUAUUCACGUUAAUUUUUUUGUCUCGGUUGCAUGCUUUGUAAUGCAGAUUUUUUUUUCUUUUUCUGUCUCUGAAAAUGUGAGUUGAACAUUACUUCUGGAAAGCUUUUGCCAGAGUUUUCAGAAUUCUUAAAUGCUGAGCUUUGAACUGUCCUAUUAGUUUUGAUUUUUACAAAACGUUAAAGUCCCAGUUUGACUUCUAAGCUGCCACUUCUGAAUGCCUGAGCAGUUGGAUGGGUAUAUCUACUUAACCACAUAACUUGACACCUGAUACAUUGUGAUUGUAUGAAUAAAUGAGAAACAAAACCAGAAUCUUUGUAGUCUUGCCUGUUGAGAUAUCUUGUGUGUGAAGUGUGUGUUUAUUUCUAUGAAUGAUUUGCAUGCAGGAGUUGUUAAAACAUUUUACACUUGUUGCCAGUGCAUUAGGGGAUGUUUAUUGUCCCUUGAAGCUGCUGGUAAUGUAACUGUGGUCUGAUCUUUUAGGAAAACUUUUUUUGGGACUGUAGUAAUAUUUACGUGGUCCCAACCCUGAAUCUGGUAUAAUAUUUAUCUCCUGGUGCUUGAUAUUAAUUUCAUCUGCCUUUUUUCUUUUUUUUCUUUCACAAUUGUAGGUAAUUUUCAGGUGGUGGAAAAUCUCCCUUAGGAAUGAAUUUCAUAAUUUAAAACCUAGAGAAAUUAUAGCGUCCCAGGAGGAUAAUAAUAAUUACAAAUGUUGGGUGGCAAUAUUGAUCUGCAAUAAAUUUCAUGAAAGAUGGGAUUGCUUUGGCUAACAUACUUCUUCCUCUGAAUUAAUUAAUAUAAAUUAAUAUAUGAAUCAUGAAAAAACCAAAAAGAUGUGACAAUAAACCUAAAUAUAUGAAAAAGCCCAGCAGCAUUCAUAGUUUCAUUGUAAGACAAUGACAGAGAUUUUAGCCACAAAUAUAGGCCAGAAAGCAAUGUUCUUAUGGCUGAUAACUCAUAAUGCUCUGUGCCAGCACAUUUGUUUCUAUGGCCAUGUUGUGAGCCAUCCAGAUUUGAAUUCCCAGUCUAAUUUGACACAACUGCUAAUGCAACAGGUGACUGGGUCUAUACAAGUGCAAAAUUACUCCAGGAGCAGACAGCCAGGAAAAGAAGGGCAGUGGGGACACCACUAAAUUAACCUCAGAGACAGGCUGGCCACUGAGAACAUCUGAAAUAAUGAUGCAUUUUCCCAAAGUUCCAUGGAACUGUGUCCCAGGUAGUUAUUGCUCUGCAUCUGAUAAUUUUGGUCCCCAGUAAUGGAUUAACUUAAGAGGUGGUCAUGUUACAAGAUGCAGUUGAUCAUGGUUCACAGAGAAAACAGUCUUCUGAAAAUACUGAUCCAGAGACAUCUUUAUUCAGUAACUGCUGGGGAUGGGUGAGGUGAGCUAUGCCUAGUCUGGAAAUGGAGAAUUUCUUAACUGCACCUGCAGUCUCUUUUGUAGCCCAAGACCUAAUAGCACAAACCACCUCAGAUUGGUGAGAUCUUGACUUUUUAAAAAAUAAACUGCUUUUGUAUUCUCACUCUGUACAGGCAUUAAAAAAUAUUUACAAUGUGACUUCAUAA